This 497-nucleotide ribosomal RNA is filed under the name uncultured bacterium. RNAcentral's name for it is "partial 16S ribosomal RNA". It matches the Rfam family "Bacterial small subunit ribosomal RNA", at positions 28 to 507 of the family's 1533-position model. The record is from RNAcentral.
GAUGAACGCUGGCGGCGUGCCUAAUACAUGCAAGUCGAGCGAACGGACGAGAAGCUUGCUUCUCUGAUGUUAGCGGCGGACGGGUGAGUAGCACGUGGAUAACCUACCUAUAAGACUGGGAUAACUUCGGGAAACCGGAGCUAAUACCGGAUAAUAUUUUGAACCGCAUGGUUCAACAGUGAAAGACGGUCUUGCUGUCACUUAUAGAUGGAUCCGCGCUGCAUUAGCUAGUUGGUAAGGUAACGGCUUACCAAGGCAACGAUGCAUAGCCGACCUGAGAGGGUGAUCGGCCACACUGGAACUGAGACACGGUCCAGACUACUACGGGAGGCAGCAGUAGGGAAUCUUCCGCAAUGGGCGAAAGCCUGACGGAGCAACGCCGCGUGAGUGAUGAAGGUCUUCGGAUCGUAAAACUCUGUUAUUAGGGAAGAACAUAUGUGUAAGUAAAUGUGCACAUCUUGACGGUACCUAAUCAGAAAGCCACGGCUAACUACGUG